Molecule: long non-coding RNA, 526 nt
Organism: Pan paniscus (pygmy chimpanzee)
Lineage: Eukaryota; Metazoa; Chordata; Mammalia; Primates; Hominidae
Source: Ensembl
CGAUCACAAUAAAUAAAAUGAAACGUGUUUGAAGGUCAGAGAUUAAUUGUGCUUGGUCCUAUGAGCAAGUUUCUUACAGUUUAGAACUUAGAGUACACGAGGGAAGAGGCAUUCCAUGAAAAGGGGCUAGCGGAGGAACGUAAGUGUAAAAGGCCUCCAAAUAUAGUUUGCAGCAUAUACCAGCAGCAAAGACAGCCCUUCUUCUGCUACCUUACCCUGAGGACUUGGACAUUCCAGCGUAUCGCAGAACCGGAAUUCAGCUCCCAUUGCCCACAACAGUGCUUUCCUGCCUCAGUUUCAUAGAAAUGAUCCCUGUGUAACUCAGCAGCUCAUAUACAGUGAUAAAGUAUCAAGUCCAUCGUUUUCCCAAAUCAAGAGCAAUGCAUCCCACACAAAUGGGCAAGAAUCGCAGCUGACAGAGGUAGGAUUUUUCAAAGAUCCCUUGGCCCAGUUGGAUCCUUUAAACCUCAGGAAUUUCUUUCUGAUGUGAAAGGCAUGGAAAUUUGAAAAGAGAGCUGACCUGGUG